CGCGGAAGGGCGGUAUUUAUUAGAUAACAAGCCAAUAUUCCUUGUGUCUAUUGUGGUGACUCAUAAUAACUGAUCGAAUCGCAAGGCUUCGUCCGCGAUAAAUCAUUCAAGUUUCUGCCCCAUCAGCUGUAGAUGGUAGUGUAUUGGACUACCAUGGCUUUCACGGGUAACGGAGGAUUAGGGUUCGAUUCCGGAGAGGGAGCCUGAAAAACGGCUACCACAUCCAAGGAAGGCAGCAGGCGCGUAAAUUACCCAAUACUAAUUCAGUGAGGUAGUG
RNAcentral lists this ribosomal RNA (277 nucleotides) under uncultured Spirotrichea. Its description in RNAcentral is "partial small subunit ribosomal RNA". It matches the Rfam family "Eukaryotic small subunit ribosomal RNA", at positions 191 to 469 of the family's 1831-position model. Lineage: Eukaryota; Ciliophora; Spirotrichea. The record is from RNAcentral.